Molecule: ribosomal RNA, 251 nt
Filed under: uncultured bacterium
Lineage: Bacteria
Description: partial 16S ribosomal RNA
Rfam family: Bacterial small subunit ribosomal RNA
Source: RNAcentral
GACGGGGGGGGCAAGUGUUCUUCGGAACUGACUGGGGUAAAGGGCACGUAGGCGGUGAAUCGGGUUGAAAGUGAAAGUCGCCAAAAAGUGGCGGAAUGCUCUCGAAACCAAUUCACUUGAGUGAGACAGAGGAGAGUGGAAUUUCGUGUGUAGGGGUGAAAUCCGUAAAUAUACGAAGGAACGCCAAAAGCGAAGGCAGCUCUCUGGGUCCCUACCGACGCUGGGGUGCGAAAGCAUGGGGAGCGAACAGG